CGUCCUACGGGGGGCAGCAGUGGGGAAUAUUGCACAAUGGGGGAAACCCUGAUGCAGCGACGCCGCGUGAGCGAUGAAGUAUUUCGGUAUGUAAAGCUCUAUCAGUAGGGAAGAAAAUGACGGUACCUGACUAAGAAGCCCCGGCUAACUACGUGCCAGCAGCCGCGGUAAUACGGAGGAUGCGAGCGUUAUCCGGAUUUAUUGGGUUUAAAGGGUGCGCAGGCGGCGUGUCAAGUCAGCGGUAAAAUGUCGGGGCUCAACCCCGGCCGGCCGUUGAAACUGGCGUGCUCGAGCUGGAGAGAAGU
This 305-nucleotide ribosomal RNA is filed under the name uncultured bacterium. RNAcentral's name for it is "bacterial SSU rRNA". It matches the Rfam family "Bacterial small subunit ribosomal RNA", at positions 335 to 658 of the family's 1533-position model. The record is from RNAcentral.